UGGGCGUAGAGGGCUCGCAGGCGGUUUCUUAAGUCUGAUGUGAAAGCCCCCGGCUCAACCGGGGAGGGUCAUUGGAAACUGGGAAACUUGAGUGCAGAAGAGGAGAGUGGAAUUCCACGUGUAGCGGUGAAAUGCGUAGAGAUGUGGAGGAACACCAGUGGCGAAGGCGACUCUCUGGUCUGUAACUGACGCUGAGGAGCGAAAGCGUGGGGAGCGAACAGGAUUAGAUACCCUGGUAGUCCACGCCGUAAACGAUGAGUGCUAAGUGUUAGGGGGUUUCCGCCCCUUAGUGCUGCAGCUAACGCAUUAAGCACUCCGCCUGGGGAGUACGGUCGCAAGACUGAAACUCAAAGGAAUUGACGGGGGCCCGCACAAGCGGUGGAGCAUGUGGUUUAAUUCGAAGCAACGCGAAGAACCUUACCAGGUCUUGACAUCCUCUGACAACCCUAGAGAUAGGGCUUUCCCUUCGGGGACAGAGUGACAGGUGGUGCAUGGUUGUCGUCAGCUCGUGUCGUGAGAUGUUGGGUUAAGUCCCGCAACGAGCGCAACCCUUGAUCUUAGUUGCCAGCAUUCAGUUGGGCACUCUAAGGUGACUGCCGGUGACAAACCGGAGGAAGGUGGGGAUGACGUCAAAUCAUCAUGCCCCUUAUGACCUGGGCUACACACGUGCUACAAUGGACAGAACA
RNAcentral lists this ribosomal RNA (686 nucleotides) under Bacillus pumilus. RNAcentral's name for it is "bacterial SSU rRNA". It matches the Rfam family "Bacterial small subunit ribosomal RNA", at positions 555 to 1241 of the family's 1533-position model. The record is from RNAcentral. Lineage: Bacteria; Bacillati; Bacillota; Bacilli; Caryophanales; Bacillaceae.